RNAcentral lists this ribosomal RNA (331 nucleotides) under uncultured bacterium. RNAcentral describes it as "bacterial SSU rRNA". It matches the Rfam family "Bacterial small subunit ribosomal RNA", at positions 8 to 334 of the family's 1533-position model. The record is from RNAcentral.
AGAGUUUGAUUAUGGCUCAGGACGAACGCUGGCGGCGCGCCUAACACAUGCAAGUCGAACGAGCGAGAGAGAGCUUGCUUUCUCGAGCGAGUGGCGAACGGGUGAGUAACGCGUGAGGAACCUGCCUCAAAGAGGGGGACAACAGUUGGAAACGACUGCUAAUACCGCAUAAGCCCACGGUGCCGCAUGGCACAGAGGGAAAAGGAGCAAUCCGCUUUGAGAUGGCCUCGCGUCCGAUUAGCUAGUUGGUGAGGUAACGGCCCACCAAGGCGACGAUCGGUAGCCGGACUGAGAGGUUGAACGGCCACAUUGGGACUGAGACACGGCCCAG